CGUUCUAACUCUGAUCAGUUAUCCUGAUCGAAGACAGUGUCUGGCAGGCAGUUUGACUGGGGCGGUCGCCUCCUAAAAGAUAACGGAGGCGCUCAAAGGUUUGCUCAGAAUGGUUGGAAAUCAUUCGUAGCGUGUAAAGGCAUAAGCAAGCUUGACUGUGAGACUGACAAGUCGAGCAGGUACGAAAGUAGGACUUAGUGAUCCGGUGGUUCCGUAUGGAAGGGCCAUCGCUCAACGGACAAAAGCUACCCCGGGGAUAACAGGCUCAUCUCCCCCAAGAGUCCACAUCGACGGGGAGGUUUGGCACCUCGAUGUCGGCUCAUCGCAUCCUGGGGCUGUAG
RNAcentral lists this ribosomal RNA (341 nucleotides) under Oenococcus oeni. RNAcentral's name for it is "bacterial LSU rRNA". It matches the Rfam family "Bacterial large subunit ribosomal RNA", at positions 2218 to 2558 of the family's 2925-position model. The record is from RNAcentral. Lineage: Bacteria; Bacillati; Bacillota; Bacilli; Lactobacillales; Lactobacillaceae.